This 47-nucleotide non-coding RNA is filed under the name Alexandrium tamarense. The record is from RNAcentral. Lineage: Eukaryota; Dinophyceae; Gonyaulacales; Pyrocystaceae.
UGCUAAUACACUUCUUUUUCUUUCUUUUUUUUUUUUUUCCUUUUCCU